GGGGCGGCCUGGGACUCGGGGGCGGGGUCAGUCAUAUAAGGCUGUGCCCAGCGCUUUUGGAAGCAGUAAGUCCAGCCCGAGGCUAAGGAGGUGUUAACCACCGAAGGGAGGUAGAAUGUUUUUCCCCACCAGAGGAGGCAGCGACCACGUCUCCUCUAUGGAGGCAUUCAAGAGCCGUCCAGCUGAAGCAGCAUCACUGUCUGAGCUCGGAAGGCACAAUCCACAUAGGUCUGCAUGGUCCACCGAGCUGCAUACCCACGGGGCCAGCGGGAGGUGGGCAGCUGCUGGGCUCUCUUCUGAAGCAGACAGGAUCUCACUCUGUUGCUGAGGCUGGAUCACAGCUCCCUGCAACCUUGAACUCUCCCUCAAGCAAUUCUCCCCACUCUGCCUUCCAAAGCACUAGCAUUAUAGGCCUAAGCCACCACUCCCAUCCACUGUAGUGUAAACUGUCUCCUUCAAUGUUUCCAAUAGUUGCGGAGCAGAUCAGAUAAGGGUUCUUCCUGUCUGUUGCUUCAAGUUUCAUUCUCUCUUUAAACAAUACAAGGUUGGCUUCCAUGGUUCCUUCUUAAAGAAUGUUGAAGGUGUGUCUUCAGAUUCAUUUAGUGUUCGUGGAACCCCAGGGAAAGCUGAUGUAAAAACCUCUUUUUUCUCCCAUAUGUCUCAAAAAGUUGUAUUUUCUGGGUCCAAGGGAUCUGCAAGCCUCCUAAAGGCAUUUCCAUUGUCACUACCACCAGGUGUGAACUGUAAUCUGGCACGUAUAGUUCCAAGAACUGUCAUAAUAGAUGCUGAAGAAACAUUGUGAAGUUAACUCGCUGUUACCAACUGUGAAGUCAUUAGCUAGAGGAAUCUUGGGCGGUCUGAAAUCUGAGAUACUGUGGAAAGAACAGAAAGAUCCUGUAUCUUUCCUAUAAUUGUUCUACUGGAAGUUGUCAUUUUACACAGGAGACAUUCUGUUUUAUUUAUUUUCUUUUGAGACAGGGUCUCACUCUGUCGCCCAGGCUGGAGUGCAGUGUUGUUACCACAGGUCACUGGUGCCUCCACUGCCUGAGGACUGCUCAAGCAAUCCUCCUGCCUCAGUCCCCUGAGGAGCUGGGGCCACAGGCCUGCACCACCAUGCCUGGCUAAUUAUUUUUAUUUGUAGAGACAAAGUCUAUCUUGCCUAGGCUGAUCUCGAACUCCUGGGCUCAAGUAAUCCUCCCGCGGUGGCUUCUCAAAGUGCUUGGGAUUACAGAUGGUCUUGCUCUGUCACCCAGUCUGGAAUGCAGUGGUGCCAUCAUAGCUCACUACAGCCUGAGCUGUACUGAGCUCGAGGGAUCUUCCCGUCUCCGCCUCCUAAGCAGCUGGGACUACAGGUAAUGGAAGUGGGCAGAGAAUGAUCCUUUCCCUAGGCUCCAGUGUGUAAGAAUUAAAGAAAGAGGAAAGAAACACAAUGGCUUGAUGGUCGAGGACAGGUUUAUUUUAAAGAAAACAAACCCAAGAGUGGCUUCUGGCUGAGUUAGAUCAGAGAAGAGAAGUGAUUUUCUUGAAAUGCAUGAGGCUGGAAAGGGAGCUGGCACUUAAAGUGGCGGUGUUUGUCCGAGAGGAUGGUGCUCCUGCUCUGUCACAGUGGGCAUGGGGAUUCAGGCCACUGCCACCGAAUUUCAAGAGCCCAAGCACAGAGCCCAGAACUAAAUUGUGAGGGUUUAAAAAAAAAAAAAGCUUUAUUGAAGUAUAAUUGACAUACAAUAAACUUGAAUAUUUAAAGUGUA
RNAcentral lists this long non-coding RNA (1748 nucleotides) under Homo sapiens (human). RNAcentral's name for it is "long intergenic non-protein coding RNA 668". The record is from RNAcentral. Lineage: Eukaryota; Metazoa; Chordata; Mammalia; Primates; Hominidae.